This 317-nucleotide ribosomal RNA is filed under the name uncultured eukaryote. Its description in RNAcentral is "partial 18S ribosomal RNA". It matches the Rfam family "Eukaryotic small subunit ribosomal RNA", at positions 1470 to 1796 of the family's 1831-position model. The record is from RNAcentral.
CCCUCAGAUGUUCUGGGCUGCACGCGUGCUACACUGAAGUACUAUAGAAAGUUUUCCGAUCUUGAAGAAGAGAGGUAAUCUUGAAUAUACUUCGUGAUGGGGAUAGAUCAUUGCAAUUUUUGGUCUUCAACGAGGAAUUCCUAGUAAGCACAAGUCAUUAACUUGUGCUGAUUACGUCACUGCUUUUUGUACACACCGCCCGUCGCUCCUACCGAUUGAGUAUUCCGGCGAGUCGUUCGGAUAGAGUCUUCAAAUUUAUUUGUUGAUUUUAGAAGUCUUGCAAGCCAUAAUACUUAGAGGAAGGAGAAGUCGUAACA